GAAAAUGGCUCCAAGGUUGAACCUAAUUGCUCUAUUUUUGAAGGAAGUGAGAUGAGUUCUCAACAGGGUUUCAAUGACUAUGAAGCUUGGUUCAUGAAUGGAGAAGCAUCCCCUAUUUAUAGGUAAGCCGAGGUAUGGUUUUGGUUGGAGUUUUGAGGUUGAAAUGUCUGAUUUAGCUUGAGCCCGAAAAGUGACAAAAAAGAAAACUUGUUAGCUAAGUGUGGUCUCUCUUUCCUCUGAAAUUC
RNAcentral lists this long non-coding RNA (245 nucleotides) under Lathyrus oleraceus (garden pea). RNAcentral's name for it is "Pisum sativum (pea) long non-coding RNA (PSAT_LNC012605)". Lineage: Eukaryota; Viridiplantae; Streptophyta; Magnoliopsida; Fabales; Fabaceae. The record is from RNAcentral.